RNAcentral lists this ribosomal RNA (259 nucleotides) under uncultured bacterium. Its description in RNAcentral is "partial 16S ribosomal RNA". It matches the Rfam family "Bacterial small subunit ribosomal RNA", at positions 524 to 776 of the family's 1533-position model. The record is from RNAcentral.
UACGUAGGGUGCGAGCGUUAAUCGGAAUUACUGGGCGUAAAGCGUGCGCAGGCGGUUUUUUUAAGACAGGCGUGAAAUCCCCCGGGCUUAACCUGGGAACUGCGCUUGUGACUGGAAGGCUAGAGUACGGCAGAGGGGGGGUGGAAUUCCACGUGUAGCAGUGAAAAUGCGUAGAGAUGUGGAGGAACACCGAUGGCGAAGGCAGCCCCCCUGGGCCGAUACUGACGCUCAUGCACGAAAGCGUGGGGGAGCAAACAGG